GUGCUCACUUUGGGAAAAUAAACACUGAAAUUGGAACCAUACAGAGAAGAUUAGCAUGGCCCAUGAGCAAGAAAGACAUGCAAAUUCAUGAAGCAUUCUUUUUUUUU
Molecule: small nuclear RNA, 107 nt
Organism: Ictidomys tridecemlineatus (thirteen-lined ground squirrel)
Lineage: Eukaryota; Metazoa; Chordata; Mammalia; Rodentia; Sciuridae
Source: Ensembl